AUUGAACGCUGGCGGCAGGCCUAACACAUGCAAGUCGAACGGUAACAGGAAGCAGCUUGCUGCUUCGCUGACGAGUGGCGGACGGGUGAGUAAUGUCUGGGAAGCUGCCUGAUGGAGGGGAUAACUACUGGAAACGGUAGCUAAUACCGCAUAAUGUCGCAAGACCAAAAGAGGGGGACCUUCGGGCCUCUUGCCAUCGGAUGUGCCCAGAUGGGAUUAGCUUGUUGGUGGGGUAACGGCUCACCAAGGCGACGAUCCCUAGCUGGUCUGAGAGGAUGACCAGCCACACUGGAACUGAGACACGGUCCAGACUCCUACGGGAGGCAGCAGUGGGGAAUAUUGCACAAUGGGCGCAAGCCUUGAUGCAGCCAUGCCCGCGUGUAAUGAAGAAGGCCUUGGUUGUAAAGUACUUUCAGCGGGA
Molecule: ribosomal RNA, 421 nt
Filed under: uncultured bacterium
Lineage: Bacteria
Description: bacterial SSU rRNA
Rfam family: Bacterial small subunit ribosomal RNA
Source: RNAcentral